Molecule: ribosomal RNA, 501 nt
Filed under: uncultured bacterium
Lineage: Bacteria
Description: bacterial SSU rRNA
Rfam family: Bacterial small subunit ribosomal RNA
Source: RNAcentral
AAGGAUAGACGCGUGGCGGCGUGCUUAACACAUGACAAGUCGAACGGUAGUUUUUAAGUGGUAAGUUUCGGAUGGAAAGUUUAAAAACUUAGUGGCGGACGGGUGAGUAACGCGUGGGUAACCUGCCUCAUACGAGGGGGAUAACAGUUAAGAAAUGACUGCUAAGACCGCAUAAUAUAGCGAAACCGCAUGAUUUUUGCUAUCAAAUAUUUAUAGGUAUGAGAUGGGCCCGCGUCUGAUUAGCUAGUUGGUGGGGUAAAAGCCUACCAAGGCGACGAUCAGUAGCCGGCUUGAGAGAGUGACCGGCCACAUUGGGACUGAGACACGGCCCAAACUCCUACGGGAGGCAGCAGUGGGGAAUAUUGGACAAUGGGGGAAACCCUGAUCCAGCGAACCGCCGCGUGAGUGAAGAAGUAUUUCGGUAUGUAAAGCUCUAUCAGCAGGGAAGAUAAUGACAGUACCUGACUAAGAAGCCCCGGCUAACUACGUGCCAGCCGCUGC